This 446-nucleotide ribosomal RNA is filed under the name uncultured bacterium. RNAcentral's name for it is "partial 16S ribosomal RNA". It matches the Rfam family "Bacterial small subunit ribosomal RNA", at positions 338 to 795 of the family's 1533-position model. The record is from RNAcentral.
CCUACGGGAGGCAGCAGUCGAGAAUCAUUCACAAUGGGGGAAACCCUGAUGGUGCGACGCCGCGUGGGGGAAUGAAGGUCUUCGGAUUGUAAACCCCUGUCAUGUGGGAGCAAAUUAAAAAGAUAGUACCACAAGAGGAAGAGACGGCUAACUCUGUGCCAGCAGCUGCGGUAAUACGGAGGUCUCAAGCGUUGUUCGGAAGCACUGGGCGUAAGGCGUGCGUAGGCUGUUUGGUAAGUCGUGUGUGAAAGGCGCGGGCUCAACCCGCGGACGGCACAUGAUACUGCGAGACUAGAGUAAUGGAGGGGGAACCGGAAUUCUAGGUGUAGCAGUGAAAUGCGUAGAUAUCGAGAGGAACACUCGUGGCGAAGGCGGGUUCCUGGACAUUAACUGACGCUGAGGCACGAAGGCCAGGGGAGCGAAAGGGAUUAGAUACCCCAGUAGUC